UACGUAGGGGGCAAGCGUUGUCCGGAAUCAUUGGGCUUAAAGGGCGCGUAGGCGGGCCCUCCAGUCAGGGGUGAAAUCCCACGGCUCAACCGUGGAAGUGCCUUUGAUACUGCGGGCCUCGAGGGAGGUAGGGGCGUGCGGAACUUCCGGUGGAGCGGUGAAAUGCGUAGAUAUCGGAAGGAACACCAGUGGCGAAAGCGGCGCGCUGGAUCUCUACUGACGCUGAGGCGCGAAAGCCAGGGGAGCAAACGGG
This 253-nucleotide ribosomal RNA is filed under the name uncultured bacterium. RNAcentral's name for it is "partial 16S ribosomal RNA". It matches the Rfam family "Bacterial small subunit ribosomal RNA", at positions 524 to 776 of the family's 1533-position model. The record is from RNAcentral.